CGCGGCCUAUCAGCUUGUUGGUGGGGUAGUGGCCUACCAAGGCGACGACGGGUAGCCGGCCUGAGAGGGCGACCGGCCACACUGGGACUGAGACACGGCCCAGACUCCUACGAGAGGCAGCAGUGGGGAAUAUUGCACAAUGGGCGGAAGCCUGAUGCAGCGACGCCGCGUGGGGGAUGACGGCCUUCGGGUUGUAAACCUCUUUCAGCACCGACGAAUCUGACGGUAGGUGCAGAAGAAGCGCCGGCUAACUACGUGCCAGCAGCCGCGGUAAUACGUAGGGCGCAAGCGUUGUCCGGAAUUAUUGGGCGUAAAGAGCUCGUAGGCGGUUUGUCGCGUCUGUCGUGAAAGCCCGGGGCUUAACUCCGGGUCUGCGGUGGAUACGGGCAGACUAGAGGCUGGUAGGGGAGAACGGAAUUCCCGGUGUAGCGGUGAAAUGCGCAGAUAUCGGGAGGAACACCGGUGGCGAAGGCGGUUCUCUGGGCCUGUACUGACGCUGAGGAGCGAAAGCGUGGGGAGCGAACAGGAUUAGAUACCCUGGUAGUCCACGCCGUAAACGUUGGGCGCUAGGUGUGGGGUCUUUCCACGGACUCCGUGCCGUAGCUAACGCAUUAAGCGCCCCGC
RNAcentral lists this ribosomal RNA (624 nucleotides) under uncultured bacterium. Its description in RNAcentral is "bacterial SSU rRNA". It matches the Rfam family "Bacterial small subunit ribosomal RNA", at positions 232 to 872 of the family's 1533-position model. The record is from RNAcentral.